Long non-coding RNA from Arachis ipaensis, 559 nucleotides. RefSeq lists it as uncharacterized. The record is from RefSeq and is a predicted model, not a curated record. NCBI's taxonomy places the organism in Eukaryota, Viridiplantae, Streptophyta, Magnoliopsida, Fabales, Fabaceae.
CCAAAACACAAACCCUAGGUUACUCCCCCACCGCCGCAAGGGUCUCACUUAACGCCGCCGUCUGUUGUGCUUAUACACCAUUGUGUCUUCGUCCGGUCGUCUGCGGCUCUGCGCUUCUUCCUCGUUCAACAAUUGGGGUGAUGUUAGAGUAAGGAGUUUAGGCUUUUGUGCAGCUCAAUCCCUUGCUUUGUUCUAUAGUAAGGGACCUUUUCAAUAAGGCUCGCGUAGGGGCGCUCAAGUUUUUUGGCCAACAGCCAUCAGCUGUCGGCUCGUUGGUAAGGCGAGAGCUUCAAGCCCGAUUUCAGGUUCAGGUGGCACACCCCCCACACAAGCACCCCCCGACGAAGGGGGGACGGGGAGAAGGCAGUCACUGCACACUCUAUAUCUUACCUCGGGGCCCAAAGUUUAUUCCCUCGCCUUAAUCUUUAAUAGAAUUAAGCCCCUACUAGAUAGAUUCAUUUUAUUGACCUUGAUGUGUUGAACUUGUUAAAAUUGGUUUGAAACUCUGUUAAUUUUUUGUUGAAGCACGUUAAUUAUUGUGCUGAUCUUGUUAAAAUUA